GAAAUGCGAUAAGUAAUGUGAAUUGCAGAAUUCAGUGAAUCAUCGAAUCUUUGAACGCACCUUGCGCUCCUUGGUAUUCCUUGGAGCAUGCCUGUUUGAGUAUCAUGAAAUCUUCAAAGUAAAUCUUUUGUUAACUCAAUUGGUUUCUACUUUGGUAUUGGAGGUCUUUGCAGCUUCACACCUGCUCCUCUUUGUUCAUUAGCUGGAUCUCAGUGUUAUGCUUGGUUCCACUCGGCGUGAUAAGUUAUCUAUCGCUGAGGACACUGUAAAAGGUGGCCAGGUAAAUGCAGAUGAACCGCUUCUAAUAGUCCAUUGACUUGGACAAUACUUUUAUGAUCUGAUCUCAAAUCAGGUAGGACUACCCGCUGAACUUAAGC
Molecule: unclassified non-coding RNA, 377 nt
Filed under: plant metagenome
Description: partial contains 5.8S ribosomal RNA, internal transcribed spacer 2, and large subunit ribosomal RNA
Rfam family: 5.8S ribosomal RNA (bases 1-105)
Source: RNAcentral